This 62-nucleotide transfer RNA is filed under the name Loxodonta africana (African savanna elephant). It matches the Rfam family "tRNA", at positions 5 to 66 of the family's 71-position model. From Rfam's summary of the family: Transfer RNA (tRNA) molecules are approximately 80 nucleotides in length. The record is from Rfam by way of RNAcentral. Lineage: Eukaryota; Metazoa; Chordata; Mammalia; Proboscidea; Elephantidae.
UGGUGGUUCAGUAGGAGAAUUCUCACCUUCCACGCAGGAGACCCAGGUUCAAUUCCUGGCCA